AACCUAUUAGCUCAAAUGGUAGAGCACUAUGCAUAUGCAUAUGCAUAUGCAUAUGGGAUGUAGGUUCGAUUCCUACAUAGGUUG
This 84-nucleotide transfer RNA is filed under the name Spinacia oleracea (spinach). It matches the Rfam family "tRNA". From Rfam's summary of the family: Transfer RNA (tRNA) molecules are approximately 80 nucleotides in length. Their secondary structure includes four short double-helical elements and three loops (D, anti-codon, and T loops). Lineage: Eukaryota; Viridiplantae; Streptophyta; Magnoliopsida; Caryophyllales; Amaranthaceae. The record is from Rfam by way of RNAcentral.